RNAcentral lists this long non-coding RNA (226 nucleotides) under Medicago truncatula (barrel medic). RNAcentral's name for it is "long non-coding RNA (MTRU_LNC004812)". The record is from RNAcentral. Lineage: Eukaryota; Viridiplantae; Streptophyta; Magnoliopsida; Fabales; Fabaceae.
ACCUCGUUUGGGAAAUGCUAAAUAGGGAAAUAACUGCAAUAUUAGUCUAAUGCAUAUUAACAUGGAUAAGAUGUAUGUGAAUAUAGUUACAUAUAAUUUAUAAAAUGAAGGUAGCAUAACUGAUUUUAAGCUAAAGAAAAUGUACCAUGACUUCUAAUUUAUCUUCCUAUUAGCUUCCUAUAAAGUCUAGAUAAAUGCAUGCAUGUGGAUUAUAUGUACCCCGUUG